Molecule: ribosomal RNA, 431 nt
Filed under: uncultured bacterium
Lineage: Bacteria
Description: bacterial SSU rRNA
Rfam family: Bacterial small subunit ribosomal RNA
Source: RNAcentral
GUUAGGAAUAUUCGUCAAUGGGGGAAACCCUGAACGAGCAAUGCCGCGUGAGUGAUGACGGUCCUUUGGAUUGUAAAACUCUUUUAUUAGGGACGAACGACUAGUAUAGGAAAUGAUACUAGAGUGACGGUACCUUUUGAAUAAGCCCCGGCUAACUACGUGCCAGCAGCCGCGGUAAUACGUAGGGGGCGAGCGUUAUCCGGAUUUAUUGGGUGUAAAGCGUGUGUAGGCGGUUUUUUAAGUCUAAGGUUUAAGCCCGGAGCUCAACUCCGGUACGCCUUAGAAACUGAUUUACUUGAGUGUGGUAGAGGCAAAUGGAAUUUCUAGUGUAGCGGUAGAAUGCGUAGAUAUUAGAAGGAACACCGGUGGCGAAGGCGAUUUGCUGGGCCAUUACUGACGCUGAGACACGAAAGCGUGGGGAGCAAAUAGGA